CCAUAAAAGAUGUAACAGAUGCAAUCUGUAAAACAAGGACGAUUAACCCUUGAUCUCCUGAACCGAAUUCAUCCUCACCUCGUCUUUUGUCUGCCCUUCCCAUAUUUACAGGGCUCUUUGGU
RNAcentral lists this small RNA (122 nucleotides) under Notechis scutatus (mainland tiger snake). RNAcentral describes it as "ZEB2 antisense RNA 1 conserved region 1 (ENSNSUG00000010185.1)". The record is from RNAcentral. Lineage: Eukaryota; Metazoa; Chordata; Lepidosauria; Squamata; Elapidae.